Molecule: ribosomal RNA, 465 nt
Filed under: Vreelandella stevensii
Lineage: Bacteria; Pseudomonadati; Pseudomonadota; Gammaproteobacteria; Oceanospirillales; Halomonadaceae
Description: partial 16S ribosomal RNA
Rfam family: Bacterial small subunit ribosomal RNA
Source: RNAcentral
CCUACGGGAGGCAGCAGUGGGGAAUAUUGGACAAUGGGGGGAACCCUGAUCCAGCCAUGCCGCGUGUGUGAAGAAGGCCCUCGGGUUGUAAAGCACUUUCAGUGAGGAAGAACGCCUGGUGGUUAAUACCCAUCAGGAAAGACAUCACUCACAGAAGAAGCACCGGCUAACUCCGUGCCAGCAGCCGCGGUAAUACGGAGGGUGCGAGCGUUAAUCGGAAUUACUGGGCGUAAAGCGCGCGUAGGUGGCUUGAUAAGCCGGUUGUGAAAGCCCCGGGCUCAACCUGGGAACGGCAUCCGGAACUGUCAAGCUAGAGUGCAGGAGAGGACUGUAGAAUUCCCGGUGUAGCGGUGAAAUGCGUAGAGAUCGGGAGGAAUACCAGUGGCGAAGGCGGCCUUCUGGACUGACACUGACACUGAGGUGCGAAAGCGUGGGUAGCAAACAGGAUUAGAUACCCUGGUAGUC